Molecule: microRNA, 23 nt
Filed under: Marek's disease virus serotype 2 MDV2
Lineage: Duplodnaviria; Heunggongvirae; Peploviricota; Herviviricetes; Herpesvirales; Orthoherpesviridae
Description: mdv2-miR-M25-5p
Gene: mdv2-miR-M25-5p
Source: miRBase by way of RNAcentral
CCUCCUUCGGACGAGUGCUUGCC